Molecule: ribosomal RNA, 393 nt
Filed under: uncultured bacterium
Lineage: Bacteria
Description: partial 16S ribosomal RNA
Rfam family: Bacterial small subunit ribosomal RNA
Source: RNAcentral
AUACGGAGGAUGCGAGCGUUAUCCGGAUUUAUUGGGUUUAAAGGGAGCGUAGGUGGGAUAUUAAGUCAGCUGUGAAAGUUUGGGGCUCAACCUUAAAAUUGCAGUUGAUACUGGUUUCCUUGAGUACGGUAUAGGUGGGCGGAAUUCGUGGUGUAGCGGUGAAAUGCUUAGAUAUCACGAAGAACUCCGAUCGCGAAGGCAGCUUGCCGGGCCGCAACUGACGCUGAAGCUCGAAGGUGCGGGUAUCGAACAGGAUUAGAUACCCUGGUAGUCCGCACAGUAAACGAUGGAUACUCGCUGUCGGCGAUAUACGGUCGGUGGCCAAGCGAAAGCGUUAAGUAUCCCACCUGGGGAGUACGCCGGCAACGGUGAAACUCAAAUGAAUUGGCGGGG